AGACCCGAAACCCGGUGAUCUAGCCAUGGGCAGGUUGAAGGUUGGGUAACACUAACUGGAGGACCGAACCGACUAAUGUUGAAAAAUUAGCGGAUGACCUGUGGCUGGGGGUGAAAGGCCAAUCAAACCGGGAGAUAGCUGGUUCUCCCCGAAAGCUAUUUAGGUAGCGCCUCGUGAAUUCAUCUCCGGGGGUAGAGCACUGUUUCGGCUAGGGGGCCAUCCCGGCUUACCAACCCGAUGCAAACUGCGAAUACCGGAGAAUGUUAUCACGGGAGACACACGGCGGGUGCUAACGUCCGUCGUGAAGAGGGAAACAACCCAGACCGCCAGCUAAGGUCCCAAAGUCAUGGUUAAGUGGGAAACGAUGUGGGAAGGCCCAGACAGCCAGGAUGUUGGCUUAGAAGCAGCCAUCAUUUAAAGAAAGCGUAAUAGCUCACUGGUCGAGUCGGCCUGCGCGGAAGAUGUAACGGGGCUAAACCAUGCACCGAAGCUGCGGCAGCGACGCUUAUGCGUUGUUGGGUAGGGGAGCGUUCUGUAAGCCUGUGAAGGUGGCCUGUGAGGGUUGCUGGAGGUA
RNAcentral lists this ribosomal RNA (574 nucleotides) under Salmonella enterica subsp. enterica serovar Paratyphi B var. L(+) tartrate +. RNAcentral describes it as "partial 23S ribosomal RNA". It matches the Rfam family "Bacterial large subunit ribosomal RNA", at positions 711 to 1281 of the family's 2925-position model. Lineage: Bacteria; Pseudomonadati; Pseudomonadota; Gammaproteobacteria; Enterobacterales; Enterobacteriaceae. RNAcentral also lists the same sequence under 2 other names. The record is from RNAcentral.